This 542-nucleotide ribosomal RNA is filed under the name Vibrio sp. P1S5. RNAcentral describes it as "bacterial SSU rRNA". It matches the Rfam family "Bacterial small subunit ribosomal RNA", at positions 919 to 1459 of the family's 1533-position model. Lineage: Bacteria; Pseudomonadati; Pseudomonadota; Gammaproteobacteria; Vibrionales; Vibrionaceae. The record is from RNAcentral.
GCCCGCACAAGCGGUGGAGCAUGUGGUUUAAUUCGAUGCAACGCGAAGAACCUUACCUACUCUUGACAUCCAGAGAAGCCAGCGGAGACGCAGGUGUGCCUUCGGGAGCUCUGAGACAGGUGCUGCAUGGCUGUCGUCAGCUCGUGUUGUGAAAUGUUGGGUUAAGUCCCGCAACGAGCGCAACCCUUAUCCUUGUUUGCCAGCGAGUAAUGUCGGGAACUCCAGGGAGACUGCCGGUGAUAAACCGGAGGAAGGUGGGGACGACGUCAAGUCAUCAUGGCCCUUACGAGUAGGGCUACACACGUGCUACAAUGGCGCAUACAGAGGGCAGCAAGCUAGCGAUAGUGAGCGAAUCCCAAAAAGUGCGUCGUAGUCCGGAUUGGAGUCUGCAACUCGACUCCAUGAAGUCGGAAUCGCUAGUAAUCGUGAAUCAGAAUGUCACGGUGAAUACGUUCCCGGGCCUUGUACACACCGCCCGUCACACCAUGGGAGUGGGCUGCAAAAGAAGUGGGUAGUUUAACCUUCGGGGAGGACGCUCACCA